RNAcentral lists this ribosomal RNA (429 nucleotides) under Pseudomonadota bacterium. RNAcentral's name for it is "Proteobacteria bacterium partial 16S ribosomal RNA". It matches the Rfam family "Bacterial small subunit ribosomal RNA", at positions 355 to 776 of the family's 1533-position model. Lineage: Bacteria; Pseudomonadati; Pseudomonadota. The record is from RNAcentral.
UGGGGAAUAUUGGACAAUGGGCGAAAGCCUGAUCCAGCCAUGCCGCGUGUGUGAAGAAGGUCUUCGGAUUGUAAAGCACUUUAAGUUGGGAGGAAGGGCAGUAAGCGAAUACCUUGCUGUUUUGACGUUACCGACAGAAUAAGCACCGGCUAACUCUGUGCCAGCAGCCGCGGUAAUACAGAGGGUGCAAGCGUUAAUCGGAAUUACUGGGCGUAAAGCGCGCGUAGGUGGUUCGUUAAGUUGAAUGUGAAAGCCCCGGGCUCAACCUGGGAACUGCAUCCCACACUGGCGAGCUAGAGUAGGGCAGAGGGUGGUGGAAUUUCCUGUGUAGCGGUGAAAUGCGUAGAUAUAGGAAGGAACACCAGUGGCGAAGGCGACCACCUGGGCUCAUACUGACACUGAGGUGCGAAAGCGUGGGGAGCAAACAGG